Molecule: long non-coding RNA, 495 nt
Organism: Eptesicus fuscus (big brown bat)
Lineage: Eukaryota; Metazoa; Chordata; Mammalia; Chiroptera; Vespertilionidae
Exons: 4
Source: RefSeq, a predicted model, not a curated record
UUUGAACUUCCCAUUCUAACGGGAAGACCUUGUCAGAGAGAAAUCGGAAUUUGCACAGAUUUGAGAAGUGAUAAUUUGCCUCAAUAUACAUAAAUAAAAGCAGAGCUUGUCUGUCAUCAGCCUGGACAAUGACUAACCCGGCAGAAGUGAUCAUCUCUGGACUAGUCAAGAGCUGCCUGUGAAGGGGGACGCACACAGUGACUUCUCUUGAUGAAUUAUUUCUCCUGAUGAAUAAAAAUCCUCUUCAGAGGCAGUGCCUACUGAACUAGAGGUGCUCUGGAAAAAUCCUAGGAUUAUUUACUGGGUGACUCUUCUGAAGAAGGAGGACAGAUGCUCUGAAACUGGUCAAAGAGGGGAGAAUUCCAGCAUCUGUGUGUACACAAGUCUGCAUGUGUGUGAGAACAUGUGCAUGUGUGUUACAUAUGUUAAGGUCUGGACACUUGAAAUCUGGAUCACUUCUCAGCUAAACUUCUAUGUUUAGACAAGCUGGCUAAA